This 1438-nucleotide ribosomal RNA is filed under the name uncultured organism. RNAcentral describes it as "SSU rRNA". It matches the Rfam family "Bacterial small subunit ribosomal RNA". The record is from RNAcentral.
AUCUACAGGCUUAACACAUGCAAGUCGAGGGGCAUCAGGAAGAAAGCUUGCUUUCUUUGCUGGCGACCGGCGCACGGGUGAGUAACACGUAUCCAACCUGCCCUUUACUCGGGGAUAGCCUUUCGAAAGAAAGAUUAAUACCCGAUGGCAUAAUGAUUCCGCAUGGUUUCAUUAUUAAAGGAUUCCGGUAAAGGAUGGGGAUGCGUUCCAUUAGGUUGUUGGUGAGGUAACGGCUCACCAAGCCUUCGAUGGAUAGGGGUUCUGAGAGGAAGGUCCCCCACAUUGGAACUGAGACACGGUCCAAACUCCUACGGGAGGCAGCAGUGAGGAAUAUUGGUCAAUGGGCGCUAGCCUGAACCAGCCAAGUAGCGUGAAGGAUGAAGGCUCUAUGGGUCGUAAACUUCUUUUAUAUAAGAAUAAAGUGCAGUAUGUAUACUGUUUUGUAUGUAUUAUAUGAAUAAGGAUCGGCUAACUCCGUGCCAGCAGCCGCGGUAAUACGGAGGAUCCGAGCGUUAUCCGGAUUUAUUGGGUUUAAAGGGAGCGUAGGUGGACUGGUAAGUCAGUUGUGAAAGUUUGCGGCUCAACCGUAAAAUUGCAGUUGAUACUGUCAGUCUUGAGUACAGUAGAGGUGGGCGGAAUUCGUGGUGUAGCGGUGAAAUGCUUAGAUAUCACGAAGAACUCCGAUUGCGAAGGCAGCUCACUGGACUGCAACUGACACUGAUGCUCGAAAGUGUGGGUAUCAAACAGGAUUAGAUACCCUGGUAGUCCACACAGUAAACGAUGAAUACUCGCUGUUUGCGAUAUACAGUAAGCGGCCAAGCGAAAGCAUUAAGUAUUCCACCUGGGGAGUACGCCGGCAACGGUGAAACUCAAAGGAAUUGACGGGGGCCCGCACAAGCGGAGGAACAUGUGGUUUAAUUCGAUGAUACGCGAGGAACCUUACCCGGGCUUAAAUUGCAGUGGAAUGAUGUGGAAACAUGUCAGUGAGCAAUCACCGCUGUGAAGGUGCUGCAUGGUUGUCGUCAGCUCGUGCCGUGAGGUGUCGGCUUAAGUGCCAUAACGAGCGCAACCCUUAUCUUUAGUUACUAACAGGUUAUGCUGAGGACUCUAGAGAGACUGCCGUCGUAAGAUGUGAGGAAGGUGGGGAUGACGUCAAAUCAGCACGGCCCUUACGUCCGGGGCUACACACGUGUUACAAUGGGGGGUACAGAAGGCAGCUAGCGGGUGACCGUAUGCUAAUCCCAAAAGCCUCUCUCAGUUCGGAUCGAAGUCUGCAACCCGACUUCGUGAAGCUGGAUUCGCUAGUAAUCGCGCAUCAGCCACGGCGCGGUGAAUACGUUCCCGGGCCUUGUACACACCGCCCGUCAAGCCAUGGGAGCCGGGGGUACCUGAAGUACGUAACCGCAAGGAUCGUCCUAGGGUAAAACUGGUGACUGGG